GAUCCUUAGGGAGUUCCCUGAACAGUAAACAUUCCGGUCACUCACUGGAAGGGUAUGUCUUAUCAUUGGAAGUAGUAAGUCGGCAUUUGAUACAUUACUGUCUUAUGAGUUUGGUUCCUAUAAUUCAGAAGCAGGAGCUCAUCACGGAGGCUGAAGCAAGGCUGAGAUCGUAGGAUUUUACCUCCUUUGAGGGCCUUGUCGAAUAGUCAGCUGACCUCCAGCUACAGCUUCCCUACCAUGUCUGUAACUUCAAAGUGCUCGUCAAUGGCAGGUAGACCUCGAAGCAUAUCCAUCAGCACUGUUCAGGGGCCUUAGCACCGCAGUUGAUGUGAAACGUGCCAAAAUGAAGAUAAGAAGUGUUACAACUGAAUAUAGUCGAGCAUAGUGGUAGUAGUGUGAACUUACAAGAGCUACUCCCUGGCUCCAGUGUCCCUUCUCCACAUUCUCGCCCUAUGCCCUCACAGCCUCAGCUUCCUUAUCACAGUAAGAACUGAACUUGUUGGGAUAUUCUGAGAAAUAACACAUAUGAAACCCUUAAUACAAGAACCAUUCGGUAAACAUUGGCCAUUAUUUCCAAACUCAGCUCUACUUUGAAAAUCCAAUGAUGGCUAUUCCAACUUUCAACUGCUCUUCUAAUGCCUCUCCUAAAUCCUGACUUCUAUUUUUAUUUUUAUUUUUUUUUUAGUUAUUUAUUCAUGAGAGACCCAGAGAGAGGGAGAGACACAGGCAGAGGGAGAAGCAGGCUCCCUGAGGGGAGCCCGAUGGGGGUCUCGAUCCAGACCCGGGAUCCCGCCCUGAGCUGAAGGCAGACACUCAACCACUGAGCCACCCAGGCGCCCCAUGAUUUUUUUUUUAACUCUGUCAGCUUCCACUGUAUUUCCAUGAAUGAUGGGAUUUCAAUGUCUUUAGUCAAAGAAGGCCGAUCCUUGCCCAUAAAGAAAGAGUUAACGGUUUUGAGCAGAGUUACUCAUAGUAUAAAAGUUUUGUCUUGAAAUUGGUUCAAGCAUUCAUUUAUUCACAAUUUAAGAACUUGUACUCAUUCAGUCAGGGCCUGUGGUGGCAGGGGUGUUGGGGGAGGGAGGUGUCAGGAAAGUCAAAGCCGGCCUAGGGUUUUUUUCCUCUUUACACUUUACCUGCUGCCUGCUUGCAGAUAAAGCUAGGAUUUGUGAUGCUAAACCUUUGAUACGAUCAGUGUUUGGAAGUUGCUACCCCCAACUUAUAAUUUACUUUCAUAGACUCUAGAAUUAUCUUCAGCAUUUUUGAUGUUGCUGAUUAUAGAUGACCUCAAGCAAAAAAAAAAAAAGUCCCUCCUGUAUCAGCCAGAGCCUGACAGGGAGGUGGGGGUAGAGUCAGUACCUCCAAAUAUUUCACUGUUAUUUCCAGACCCCUCACAAGCAUCCUUCAUCCAGGUCUCGGCCUUACUACACAGCUGCAUGUGCCUGGUGAACCUUAAGGAAAAUGGGGUCAUCAGAGACAGGCGGGGCGGGGGGGCGUGCCUCUGUCAGCUUGGCCUGGUAAGGUUACGUAGCAGCCCAUCAGACGUGGCCGUGAUGGCUCAAGGAGGGAGAGCCAUCCUUGUCUCCCUUAAGUCAGGGUUGGAGCUAGCCUGGAAAGCCAGCUGUGGAGGCAGAAACCACCCUGGGAACUGGAGGGCAGCCCCAUCCGCCGUCUGCAGCAUUGCCCCAUCGGGCGGCAGCAUCCUUACACAGAAGGUACUGGUGGCUUUGAAAUCUAAGUUCAAAUACUACCUUGCUGGCUCCUAAUGAUGUGAGCCCGGCAGUUUAACCUGUCACAGUCCCUGGUGUUCAACAUGGUUGGAGAUCCGCCCUGUGUUCCUCAGGGACUCCACUGUGCCCCGGGACUGCACAGUAGUUAGCUGUUUACAUUCACUCUCCCCAGUGUACCAUGAGUUCCUUGAGGUCGUGUCAUACAUCUUGUAGCCCCAGGCUCUGUCAUAGUCCCUGUCAUCAUGUUUAAUGAAUUAAUGAGUACAGAAAAUACCAGUUGUCCUUAGAGGCCUGGCAGUAACAAGCCUUACUAUGUGCCCUAUACUGUACAUCCUCUUGUGAGCAUGCUAUCUUUGAGAGCAAAUCGAACAAACGGAAGCAUUAAUACAAGAACAUUUACCAAGGAUUAGGUGUGUUAAAAACAAGAGUCCAAAAGAGCUACAAGAUAAUACAUAUAAUCUAGUGAUUAUAUCCCUAGAAUAACUGCAUUAUAAAUGAAAAGAAAGGCAAUAGUUUACCAGCCAUUUUGCAAUCUUCUCUUAGAGAUAAAAACCUGGUAAGAACCUCGUUCCACAAUGCUUAUGUUAAAGUUUGAAUUUUGGCCUAAAAUUAAAAUCACAUUUGACACUACCAUACAAAAACUGGGUAUGAACUUUUGGUCCCUAAAAAGAACAUUGUUCUUGGAGUAUAGCUUUGCUGAGUGUUGGCAGAGUAACACUUCCUCACUUCCGAUUUUCCUUCCAUAUGGAGGCACCUUCCAUUAGAGUCCUGACCUUGCUGUGCCUUUACUCCUCUCCAGAGCAAGGAAGAGUGAAAGAAGGGAAUUCUAAAAUGCCCUCCUCUAGAAGUAUAUGAACAUUCUGCUUUGUCCUUCCAUGCCAUGGUUUGUAAGAACAGGCCCUGUGGGAGAGCUUAACAGUGGUGCAGUGAUGGCAAAGGCUGUCUGGGGUGCAGCAUCAGGAAGCCCGUUGUUGCCAUAGGUUUAAGCCGUGUUCUUUAACAUCAGUUUUAUCAGAAAUGAUGGUGACACUUUUAUCUUCAUCUGCCUGAAUGCCUACUUCUAAGUUGUUUUAGAAACAUAGUGGAGAACAGUUAGGUCUACUGGGCUUCCACAAACCCCAACAUGAAAAUGUUUGUUAAAUAGUAUGGAAGGUUUAUAAAUGUGGUUGCUCUUUGGAAUCCCAACCAAAAAGGAGGACAUUCUCUGACCAUUCUGAAUAAACCCACCAUAACAUA
RNAcentral lists this long non-coding RNA (2963 nucleotides) under Canis lupus familiaris (dog). RNAcentral describes it as "lncRNA (ENSCAFG00000050171.1, ENSCAFG00805000724.1, ENSCAFG00845002234.1)". The record is from RNAcentral. Lineage: Eukaryota; Metazoa; Chordata; Mammalia; Carnivora; Canidae.